AUUGAACGCUGGCGGCAUGCUUUACACAUGCAAGUCGAACGGGGUGAGGAGCUUGCUCCUCAUCUAGUGGCGAACGGGUGAGUAAUACAUCGGAACGUACCGUGUAGUGGGGGAUAACGUAGCGAAAGUUACGCUAAUACCGCAUACGAUCCACGGAUGAAAGCAGGGGACCUUCGGGCCUUGUGCUAAUACGAGCGGCCGAUGCCUGAUUAGCUAGUUGGUGGGGUAAAGGCCCCACCAAGGCAACGAUCAGUAGCGGGUCUGAGAGGAUGAUCCGCACACUGGGACUGAGACACGGCCCAGACUCCUACGGGAGCAGCAGUGGGGAAUUUUGGACAAUGGGCGCAAGCCUGAUCCAGCCAUGCCGCGUGUCUGAAGAAGGCCU
Molecule: ribosomal RNA, 385 nt
Filed under: uncultured bacterium
Lineage: Bacteria
Description: bacterial SSU rRNA
Rfam family: Bacterial small subunit ribosomal RNA
Source: RNAcentral